This 384-nucleotide ribosomal RNA is filed under the name uncultured bacterium. RNAcentral describes it as "bacterial SSU rRNA". It matches the Rfam family "Bacterial small subunit ribosomal RNA", at positions 30 to 416 of the family's 1533-position model. The record is from RNAcentral.
AUUGAACGCUGGCGGCAUGCCUUACACAUGCAAGUCGAACGGCAGCGGACCUUCGGGUGCCGGCGAGUGGCGAACGGGUGAGUAAUAUAUCGGAACGUACCUUUCAGUGGGGGAUAACGUAGCGAAAGUUACGCUAAUACCGCAUAUUCUGUGAGCAGGAAAGCAGGGGAUCGCAAGACCUUGCGCUGAUUGAGCGGCCGAUAUCAGAUUAGCUAGUUGGUGAGGUAAAGGCUCACCAAGGCGACGAUCUGUAGCGGGUCUGAGAGGAUGAUCCGCCACACUGGAACUGAGACACGGUCCAGACUCCUACGGGAGGCAGCAGUGGGGAAUUUUGGACAAUGGGCGCAAGCCUGAUCCAGCCAUGCCGCGUGAGUGAAGAGGGCC